CAUUCUCAGCUGUUGCUUCUUUAUGCCCCUUCGAUACUGCCGUCUGUGCAGCCAAUGCAAGUGCCGUAGCAGGCAACCCUUCAAUUUCUUUUUCAUUUGUAAUGAAUUUUUCAAAUUUCUUUGUGGCAUCCAAUACAUUCUCCCCAAACUUUUGAGAUAGCCUUUCCAACUCCUGUUGAAUUUUGUUGAAUUCUUUCCUUUUGUCAUCUUCAAGAGCAACACCAAUAAGAACUGCCUCCUUUAUUUGGGAUUCCACUAUACGUUUCUGAGCAUUGCUUAGUGACUGCCAUUGAGGAGAAUCUUGGAUGGCCUUAAAUGCAUUGUAAAUUGGUUUACU
Molecule: unclassified non-coding RNA, 337 nt
Filed under: Hevea brasiliensis (rubber tree)
Lineage: Eukaryota; Viridiplantae; Streptophyta; Magnoliopsida; Malpighiales; Euphorbiaceae
Source: RNAcentral